This 3318-nucleotide long non-coding RNA is filed under the name Pomacea canaliculata. RNAcentral's name for it is "uncharacterized LOC112574904, transcript variant X6". Lineage: Eukaryota; Metazoa; Mollusca; Gastropoda; Architaenioglossa; Ampullariidae. The record is from RNAcentral.
CAUCAGUGACAGACGACAGUUGCUGAAGCGUGACGGACAGUUUGUGUCGUGAGGUCGUCACACCAGUCGUCGAUAAAUCUGUCGUCAGGACCACGUCAACACAACACGAGGAGGACGAGAGCAGAGCGUGUGUUGGCUUUGUCCAGAUGUAGAGAUGUACUCAACCUGACACUGACACUGACACCGACACUGAGACUAACACUGACACUGACAGUGACAGUGACAGUAACACUGACACUGACACCGACACUGAGACUAACACUGACACUGACAGUGACAGUGACAGUGACAGUGACACUGACACUGACACUGACACCGACACUGACACUGACACCGACACCGAGACAACAAAGUUUACUUGUGUCACAGGAAUCACCAGUCAUGACGAGAUAUCGGUACACAAAACACGUUCACAGUGACUACUCUGUCCAGUGACUAGCGCUUUGCUUCACAGAGAUGAGUUUCCUCCCCUCACAACGAAAGCAGACACACUGGAGUCUGUUCAGGGGAGACAACUAGUCAGUUAUGUCGCGUGGUCAGCCGUCUGCUUCACAGCAGACAAAGAGCAGGAGAGGGAAGGGUGGCAGUGGUGGACGACCUUCUGGAAGCGUUUACCUACACGCCGUCACUGAUAGACAGGCCACUCUUCUUGCUGACACGGCAACGACGAGACCGCUUUGGGAGGUAGAGAAAAGCUCGGGCGCUCGUGUCAUGCUGGACUCUAAGGCCUCACCUGUACCAGGUAUGAAGGUUGUCGUCAUCACUGGUCAUCCCUCGCAGAUCCACACAGCCGUCCGGCUCAUCAGUCACAAGACUGGCGCUCAGAAUAUAUGCCUCUGUGGUCUUGCUCUUCUGUUUCCAUAUAUCCUCCAGUCCAUGAUAACAACAGCAAGGGACAAGAUUGGAUGCUUGCCAGUCAAACAGAAAGAUGACCUCCCUUGAUGCGCCAGUGAGGUGCACGACCUCAGCUCUAUUGGUGUGGAGGAGAAGUAAUGUGACUUCAAGCUAUCGACGAUGUUAGCAAAGACCGUUAUAUUUUUAAUCCUGCAGGCAGCACGAACACUAGACAGAGUGCCGCUCGUCAUGCAUGUCCCCAUGAACGUGGAGAAAGACAGCAGAAAUGUUCGCACAAGGUUCACAAGAUCAGUCCGUACGAGAAACAAAGUGCACUAUCAGAGAAUAAAACAGUCCACACAGGAACAUGCGCAGUAAUCCACCUCGCGGACGACGACCAAUAAGAAAGGAACAUAUUUAUAAGUCUGCAUCAAUAAAAAGAAGCUAGAGAGAAUUAUUGAAGUCUUUCAUUUAUCCCCACAGAAAGGAGGGGCAUAAGCAUGUCUCUCACUACCCAUGAAAACCAUUCAGUGUUCCAGAGCAAAGUCCACUGCCUAAAACUGCGAAACAUCGUUUAUGACUGAACAAAUAUACGUUUAAGAACUAAAACAAAUUCCAGACUUAAUAAACAAUUACUUCUGUAUAACAUUUUGUAAAUUAAUCUUAUCUGUGUGUACCAAAGAUAAAGCACACAUUGAUUCCCAUCCCUAUAUACGCCGUUACAGCAAAAGUCUACUGAAUGAAUGAAGUGGAUGUCCACAUGUGUGUUGGAUUCCUGUCACACUAAGCAUCUUGAAAACCAUCUUUCAGCAAAGACUGAUAUAUUACCAAGAAAAAAGAAAUCCUUCUGGUUUAAUUUUUCGACAACUUGGUGCUAGAACAGCAACACGAACAACCAGAUGGCGUGUCACGAAAGUUUACAUGUCCUCCAGUCACACGUGGCUGCAUCCAUAUCCGAAUAUUGUUUACAAAGUCGAGACUGUGACCUCUUGGGAAAGCUGAGGCAACAGGUGUCUCCGUGCAGUCGUCACAUUCCUUCCAAGUACGAGCACAGAGAGGCAGCCAGGCAUCUGACAAUCUUUAAAUGCCUUCAAGCUGCGUUUAUUAGAGCUGCUCAAGUAAACACGUGGUAUAAGUACACAAGUAAACAUGAUAGUCACUACUACAAAGUUGUAGUCACGCUUGUAUGUGGCAUGUGUCGAUGUAAGAUUUGUUGAUGUGUUAGUGUGUACAUUAUAUGUCUGUAUGUGUAAUAUGCUCAUGUGUACAUUUCAUGUAAUGUGUUCUGUGUGACGUGUUACUGUUUGCUCUCGCUCACGUGUUCAGUGUCACAUCUUCAAAACAACACAUGAACUCUGACAGCCACCAGUACAAUGUCAUCAGCCGCUGUGCUUUAAUGAAACAGAUUCCUUUUUCCUAACAGAAAGAGUUUGUGUGUACUGUACACAAUUCUUGCUUUUAGGAGGCUGUGUGUGUGCGCGCGUUUUGGUGAGUGCGUGUGUGUGUGUGUUUUACGAUGAUAAACGGACCGCAAUCAUUGCUGUGGAGCAUCACAAGCAAAACUUCUGUGUCAAUAUUGUGUAUGUCAAAGUGACAUGUUCGUACCACAGGUAGAACACAUUUGGCUUCAUCACACGUGUACACCAGCUACGGACGUGCACGUGACCAGACGGCUGUCCGAAUCCCCUGUACAGAGUGGGACUAGCAGCCUGCAGCUGCAGACUUGAGGCCGACAUCCUGAGGGUCUCGUCUCCUCCAAAUAAGACCUCACAGAAAUGAAACAAAAGGUUUUGACAUCAAUGCCCUCAUCGGUGUCAACAUCGCUGCUACCUAAAGACCUCGGACUGUCCUCGUGUUGUAGCAGCUCAGUGGCAACGAGAGGAGCUUGGAGGACACUGUGUCAUCGGUCUAGUGAAUGUUUGUAUACAUUUGACAUUUUGCACCCUGCGGACCUAUAGCUCUGUAACUGGAAGGAUUGAAGGGCCGUGUAAUAGUAAACAACCAAACGUGAAACACAAGGUAACAAAUAAAUAACUAAGGCAGUUGUGAUACCUUGCAGUCAGUGGUGGUCUCAGUCGUUCUUCACUCAGCAGCUGUGUCAAGCAUCAGGUACCAGUUCCAAGCUGGAGUCCACUCCAAGUCCACAGGGACCCUCCUCUGGGCAGACGUGGACGGAACCUGUUGCCCGAAGCUUCAGUGCUCUUACACGAACCUUUAGGAGGUCCUGUCUACACCACGAGAGGGCAGCACUUUGCAAUAAAUAAACAAAUAUUAUUGAUACCUGAGCAUCAUGGCUAAAAUGUGGUGAAGAUCUUUAACAACCUCAAUAGCUCUGAAAUGGUAUUGAAACUGAUGUAUAAUAAACAAUAUGUAUCCAUGGUUACCAGACUAACAUGACCUUAACAAGCAAGGACAAGCUGUAAACCACGCCCACGAUAUGAAGACAAAGGUUUACCCUGUAACAACAAUAAUAUUAUAUAUAUA